GACGAACGCUGGCGGCGUGCUUAACACAUGCAAGUCGAACGGAAAGGCCCUGCUUUUGUGGGGUGCUCGAGUGGCGAACGGGUGAGUAACACGUGAGUAACCUGCCCUUGACUUUGGGAUAACUUCAGGAAACUGGGGCUAAUACCGGAUAGGAGCUCCUGCUGCAUGGUGGGGGUUGGAAAGUUUCGGCGGUUGGGGAUGGACUCGCGGCUUAUCAGCUUGUUGGUGGGGUAGUGGCUUACCAAGGCUUUGACGGGUCGCCGGCCUGAGAGGGUGGACGGCCACAUUGCGACUGCGAUACGGCCCAGACUCCUACGGGAGGCAGCAGUGGGGAGUAUUGCACAAUGGGCGGGAGCCUGAUGCAGCAACGCCGCGUGCGGGAUGACGGCCUUCGGGUUGUAAACCGCUGUCGCCUGUGACGAAGCGUGAGUGACGGUAAUGGAUAAAGAAGCACCGGCUAACUACGUG
RNAcentral lists this ribosomal RNA (468 nucleotides) under uncultured bacterium. RNAcentral describes it as "partial 16S ribosomal RNA". It matches the Rfam family "Bacterial small subunit ribosomal RNA", at positions 28 to 507 of the family's 1533-position model. The record is from RNAcentral.